CAAUUAGCCGUCUACCCCCAAAAUGGAGUAUAGGCGUGUUCAGCUCGACGAGCUCCACAAGGUCGCAAAGUUACAUUAAUAAGUGAGCGUUAUACUUGGGUGGUACCCCUUGCCAGUAAGAGCAAACUGAAGGAUGAAUCACUUAUUUCAUGAAGCAAAUACAGUCGGGGAAACUAUGUAUAACUUUUGACAGAUACAGGUCAGAGUGAAUCACAUCUUGAAAGUACUUACCAAAUUACAAGCAGAAUCAACCAUAUAUUGCAGGAAAUGGAAUGCAAGAUGGAAUAAUGUUGCUGAGUAAUAAAUACGUGCAAGUUUCUUUGACUUUAUUUGAACUUUAUAUGUUGUUGACAAUACGGCAUGGCAUGGUACGUACAUUCAUAUAUACUCUUGCUACUCCUUCUAAAGUAGCAUGUAUCUCUUUACGUAAAGAAAAAAAUUAUAUAACAGAUAUCUUUCAAUAAUUGAGUAUGACAAUCAAAAUCAAAAUGGGAGUAUAUUUGCCAUUAUUUGAACCUGUUCAAACAUUGAUGGGAAAAUUACCACCAAAAAUUAUGAAGUAGAAAAAUUGAAUGGAUACAUUAAAGAAGUUAACCAGCGUAGAGUCAAAUACUAAGGCAAAUAACAAGAACGUACUCUGUAAAGAAAUGCAAUUACUUUGUCGCAAGAUAUAUCUGGAAAUAUGCUUAAGCAUUUAUUCACACAGUGAUGAGGAAAUUACAACAAACAAAUUAUGAAGUAGAAAAAUAUAAUAGAUACAGUGAACAUAUUAUCUAAAGAAGAAGAUUAUUAAAUUAGAUAAGUUUAUUUUGCAAAUCAUCGACUAUAAAAACAAUGUAAUGCCAGCAUACUUUAAGUAAAUAAAUUAGCAGGAGA
Molecule: long non-coding RNA, 876 nt
Organism: Osmia lignaria (orchard mason bee)
Lineage: Eukaryota; Metazoa; Arthropoda; Insecta; Hymenoptera; Megachilidae
Source: RefSeq, a predicted model, not a curated record